This 510-nucleotide ribosomal RNA is filed under the name uncultured bacterium. Its description in RNAcentral is "partial 16S ribosomal RNA". It matches the Rfam family "Bacterial small subunit ribosomal RNA", at positions 28 to 507 of the family's 1533-position model. The record is from RNAcentral.
GACGAACGCUGGCGGCGUGCUUAACACAUGCAAGUCGAACGAAGAGCGAUGGAAGCUUGCUUCUAUCAAUCUUAGUGGCGAACGGGUGAGUAACGCGUAAUCAACCUGCCCUUCAGAGGGGGACAACAGUUGGAAACGACUGCUAAUACCGCAUACGAUCUAAUCUCGGCAUCGAGGAUAGAUGAAAGGUGGCCUCUACAUGUAAGCUAUCACUGAAGGAGGGGAUUGCGUCUGAUUGGCUAGUUGGAGGGGUAACGGCCCACCAAGGCGAUGAUCAGUAGCCGGUCUGAGAGGAUGAACGGCCACAUUGGGACUGAGACACGGCCCAGACUCCUACGGGAGGCAGCAGUGGGGAAUCUUCCGCAAUGGACGAAAGUCUGACGGAGCAACGCCGCGUGAGUGAUGACGGCCUUCGGGUUGUAAAGCUCUGUUAAUCGGGACGAAAGGCCUUCUUGCGAAUAGUGAGAAGGAUUGACGGUACCGGAAUAGAAAGCCACGGCUAACUACGUG